AACUAGCUAUUUCAAGAAUCUCAUCUCCUAACUAAAAGGAUUCAUGAAAUUACUGAAGAGGAAGAAACAUUAAUGAUCCUUAUAGUUCGCAAAUCAAUACCUCAAAAGCAAUGACAAAAAUCCCUUAAACUUGGCACUCACUAUAGUGAUUUAAUUUGUUAAAAUAGUGGUCCAUGGCCUACUGGAAGAUCUUUGUGGAAAUCUUA
RNAcentral lists this unclassified non-coding RNA (206 nucleotides) under Hevea brasiliensis (rubber tree). Lineage: Eukaryota; Viridiplantae; Streptophyta; Magnoliopsida; Malpighiales; Euphorbiaceae. The record is from RNAcentral.